CGGAGCGGCCAGAGAGCCCAAAGAUGGCAGUGCUCUCUGGGGGCUGCCAGAGCUGCUCUGUCUGGUGCCUUCAUCUUCUGCAGGAGCUGCAGUGGCCUGGAGUGGUGAAGACUUCCCUGAGGACCCAACCCCACACAGCUGCCAGCAGAUGCAGAAACAGAUGCCAGACUUUCAUUUGGAGGGCCAGGUGAGCGUCUCUGUGGUCCUGGGGGCGUCAUCGGGAGCCUCAGAAGAAUGUUAGAACACCGGGCCACGCAGCCAGCUCAGCUCUCUGGGCCAUCUGGGCGCCAUCCCAUGCAUUUCCUACAGUCAGGCCUAGCUUCGGCGGGAGCCACACAGGACGGGGACCAUGGUUGGGUUCUGGGGAGAUACAGGGGAAGGAAUGGUCAGAGACAGAGGAAUCACAUGACCGCCUGACCAGACAGGAACCAGCCUUGGGAGUCAGAGAUGACCCGUCGUCGUUCUCUUGCUCUCCGAAUUGCAGCGGCAUGGCCUCGCGGGCAGACCGCUGGCCUCCGGGCCAAGACUGCCUCGACUCCUGCUUUGGAGCGACAGGGCUGGGUGGUGCGGAGCAGCCGGACUCGGUUUUCUCAGCUGUCCCUGCCUCGCAUGUAGGAAGGACCCAGGGAGAUGUGCCCUCUACAAAGAGUCGGGCUUCCCUCUCCUCCAGGCAAAGCCCCCCUUGUCCGCCGC
Molecule: long non-coding RNA, 693 nt
Filed under: Phascolarctos cinereus (koala)
Lineage: Eukaryota; Metazoa; Chordata; Mammalia; Diprotodontia; Phascolarctidae
Description: lncRNA (ENSPCIG00000032924.1)
Source: RNAcentral